CCUACGGUGGGCUGCAGUGAGGAAUAUUGGUCAAUGGACGAGAGUCUGAACCAGCCAAGUAGCGUGAAGGAUGACUGCCCUAUGGGUUGUACACUUCUUUUAUAUGGGAAUAAAAUGCUCCACGUGUGGGAUUUUGUAUGUACCAUACGAAUAAGGAUCGGCUAACUCCGUGCCAGCAGCCGCGGUAAUACGGAGGAUCCGAGCGUUAUCCGGAUUUAUUGGGUUUAAAGGGAGCGUAGGUUGAUUGUUAAGUUAGCUGUGAAAUUUUGAGGCUCAACCUUAAGAUUGCAGUUGAAACUGGCAGUCUUGAGUACAGUAGAGGUGGGCGGAAUUCGUGGUGUAGCGGUGAAAUGCUUAGAUAUUACGAAGAACUCCGAUUGCGAAGGCAGUUCACUGGACUGGAACUGACACUGAGGCACGAAAGUGUGGGGAUCAAACAGGAUUAGAUACCCGGGUAGUC
RNAcentral lists this ribosomal RNA (460 nucleotides) under uncultured bacterium. Its description in RNAcentral is "partial 16S ribosomal RNA". It matches the Rfam family "Bacterial small subunit ribosomal RNA", at positions 338 to 795 of the family's 1533-position model. The record is from RNAcentral.